UAGAUGGAAAAUAACUCGGCCUAUAACAUGGUGCAUACCACACAACGUUGUAGUCCCACGAUCGACAUGGCUUAAUGCACCACAAUGGUAGCAAAAGCCAUUAUCAUAGAGAGAGAGAGAGACCAUAAGCAGAAGAAGAAGAAUUUGCAUUUUGUGUUGUAUUGUAAAUGGUAAAUUAUUUAAUGGAAUACAAAUCAAAUACAUAUUUUGAUUAUGAUUUCCAGCUGUUGGAUAGUUGUAUUGAAAGUUAUGUUGUGAUUGAUAUUGGUACUUGCCACCAAAUCUAUAAGUGAAUAUUUGAGUCAAUAUUGUUUAAUGAAAAAUGUCAGAUCAAUCCGACCUGAUGGAUAUUUCUUCUGUGAAUACCUCGCAUGAUCCAAAUCAAGCUCAAAAAAGUACUGUAUCUCCUAAUAAAACAGAUCAGUAUGCUUCCCGGCUGAAUAAUCUACAAAGAAUCCAGCAGAAGAAAAAGGCAGUACUUGGAUUUCCGUACAAUAAAAAAUUGUUGAAGCUAGCCGUGUACUCAAAAUGCCAGGCUGAAAAAUGUGACUGCAUUGGAUGGAAAAGAGUAGAUAGCAAUCAACAGAAUCCCACUUUUACUGAUCCUUGUAGAUGUGAGCACCCUUUAG
Leptinotarsa decemlineata (Colorado potato beetle) is the source of this 629-nucleotide long non-coding RNA. NCBI's taxonomy places the organism in Eukaryota, Metazoa, Arthropoda, Insecta, Coleoptera, Chrysomelidae. The record is from RefSeq and is a predicted model, not a curated record.